GUGGGGAAUAUUGGACAAUGGGCGAAAGCCUGAUCCAGCCAUGCCGCGUGUGUGAAGAAGGUCUUCGGAUUGUAAAGCACUUUAAGUUGGGAGGAAGGGCAGUAAGUUAAUACCUUGCUGUUUUGACGUUACCAACAGAAUAAGCACCGGCUAACUUCGUGCCAGCAGCCGCGGUAAUACGAAGGGUGCAAGCGUUAAUCGGAAUUACUGGGCGUAAAGCGCGCGUAGGUGGUCUAGCAAGUUGGAGGUGAAAUCCCCGGGCUCAACCUGGGAACUGACUUCAAAACUGCAGGACUAGAGUACGGUAGAGGGUAGUGGAAUUUCCUGUGUAGCGGUGAAAUGCGUAGAUAUAGGAAGGAACACCAGUGGCGAAGGCGACUACCUGGACUGAUACUGACACUGAGGUGCGAAAGCGUGGGGAGCAAACAGGAUUAGAUACCCUUGUAGUCC
Molecule: ribosomal RNA, 450 nt
Filed under: uncultured bacterium
Lineage: Bacteria
Description: partial 16S ribosomal RNA
Rfam family: Bacterial small subunit ribosomal RNA
Source: RNAcentral